CCUACGGGUGGCAGCAGUGAGGAAUAUUGUUCAAUGGACGAGAGUCUGAACCAGCCAAGUAGCGUGAAGGAUGACUGCCCUAUGGGUUGUAAACUUCUUUUAUAUGGGAAUAAAACGUUCCACGUGUGGGAUUUUGUAUGUACCAUAUGAAUAAGGAUCGGCUAACUCCGUGCCAGCAGCCGCGGUAAUACGGAGGAUCCGAGCGUUAGCCGGAUUUAUUGGGUUUAAAGGGAGCGUAGGUGGAUUGUUAAGUCAGUUGUGAAAGUUUGCGGCGCAACCGUAAAAUUGCAGUUGAAACUGGCAGUCUUGAGUACAGUAGAGGUGGGCGGAAUUCGUGGUGUAGCGGUGAAAUGCUUAGAUAUCACGAAGAACUCCGAUUGCGAAGGCAGUUCACUGGACUGCAACUGACACUGAGGCUCGAAAGUGUGGGUAUCAAACAGGAUUAGAUACCCGGGUAGUC
This 460-nucleotide ribosomal RNA is filed under the name uncultured bacterium. RNAcentral's name for it is "partial 16S ribosomal RNA". It matches the Rfam family "Bacterial small subunit ribosomal RNA", at positions 338 to 795 of the family's 1533-position model. The record is from RNAcentral.